AGUUUGAUCCUGCUCAGAACGAACGCUGGCGGCAGCGUUAACACAUGCAAGUCGAGCGCACUCUUCGGAGUGAGCGGCAGACGGGUGAGUAACGCGUGGGAAUCUACCCAUCUCUACGGAAUAACUCAGGGAAACUUGUGCUAAUACCGUAUACGCUUCGGGGGAAAGAUUUAUCGGAGAUGGAUGAGCCCGCGUUAGAUUAGCUAGUUGGUGGGGUAAUGGCCUACCAAGGCGACGAUCUAUAGCUGGUCUGAGAGGAUGAUCAGCCACACUGGGACUGAGACACGGCCCAGACUCUACGGGAGGCAGCAGUGGGGAAUAUUGGACAAUGGGCGCAAGCCUGAUCCAGCCAUGCCGCGUGAGUGAUGAAGGCCCUAGGGUUGUAAAGCUCUUUCAACGGUGAAGAUAAUGACGGUAACCGUAGAAGAAGCCCCGGCUAACUUCGUGCCAGCAGCCGCGGUAAUACGAAGGGGGCUAGCGUUGUUCGGAAUUACUGGGCGUAAAGCGCACGUAGGCGGAUCGUUAAGUGAGGGGUGAAAUCCCAGGGCUCAACCCUGGAACUGCCUUUCAUACUGGCGAUCUUGAGUUCGAGAGAGNUGAGUGGAAUUCCGAGUGUAGAGGUGAAAUUCGUAGAUAUUCGGAGAACACCAGUGGCGAAGGCGCUCACUGCUCGAUACUGACGCUGAGUGCGAAAGCG
This 697-nucleotide ribosomal RNA is filed under the name uncultured Alphaproteobacteria bacterium. Its description in RNAcentral is "bacterial SSU rRNA". It matches the Rfam family "Bacterial small subunit ribosomal RNA", at positions 10 to 761 of the family's 1533-position model. Lineage: Bacteria; Pseudomonadati; Pseudomonadota; Alphaproteobacteria. The record is from RNAcentral.